CCUUUCGAGGUUGAAUUCUUGAACUGCUUUUUGAGUCACACGCAGACAAAGAUCCCUCUCUUAUGUAACUCAAGCUUAGCUACUCCUUUUAUUAUUUUUUCGAUUUUUCUUUUUUUCUUUUUCUUCUCUCUUGUGUAAAGGCUUUUAUGGUUUUCCUCUUGUGAUUCAUUUUUCCUGGAAGACGAGAAAAUUGGAAUUCAUCUUUGUAGAAACCCUUGACUGGAAAUCCAUCCAUCGGAGGUGAAGGAGUAGAUAGAAUUAGAACACAUGCAUUAUUGAUAGCAGUCUCCCUUAUUCGAAGCCCCCAAUUUAGUUCAUCAGAUAUUGGUGCAACUCAAAUGAUCAGAUUGCUUGUUGUGGAAUUAAAAGAAGGGGGAAAAAUUUGAAGCGAUAGAGGGAGAGAAAUGAGAGUAGGUCUCA
Molecule: long non-coding RNA, 420 nt
Filed under: Vitis vinifera (wine grape)
Lineage: Eukaryota; Viridiplantae; Streptophyta; Magnoliopsida; Vitales; Vitaceae
Description: long non-coding RNA (VVIN_LNC001827)
Source: RNAcentral